RNAcentral lists this ribosomal RNA (427 nucleotides) under uncultured prokaryote. RNAcentral's name for it is "bacterial SSU rRNA". It matches the Rfam family "Bacterial small subunit ribosomal RNA", at positions 355 to 796 of the family's 1533-position model. The record is from RNAcentral.
UGGGGAAUUUUCCGCAAUGGGCGAAAGCCUGACGGAGCAAUACCGCGUGAGGGAGGAAGGCCCUUGGGUUGUAAACUUCUUUUCUCAGGGAAGAAGCAAGUGACGGUACCCGAGGAAUCAGCAUCGGCUAACUCCGUGCCAGCAGCCGCGGUAAUACGGAGGAUGCAAGCGUUAUCCGGAAUCAUUGGGCGUAAAGCGUCCGCAGGUGGCGCUUCAAGUCGGCUGUCAAAGACCGGAGCUCAACACUGGAAAGGCAGUGGAAACUGAAGAGCUAGUGUGCGGUAGGGGUAGAGGGAAUUCCCAGUGUAGCGGUGAAAUGCGUAGAGAUUGGGAAGAACACCAGUGGCGAAGGCGCUCUACUGGGCCGUAACUGACGCUGAGGGACGAAAGCUAGGGGAGCGAAAGGGAUUAGAUACCCCCGUAGUCC